CAUAUCAAUAAGCGGAGGAAAAGAAACCAACAGGGAUUGUCUUAGUAACGGCGAGUGAAGCGACAAGAGCUCAAAUUUGAAAUCUGGUUUCGUCAGAAGCCCGAGUUGUAAUUUGAAGAUAAUUUGUUUGGGAAGGCCCCCUGCUCAAGUUCCUUGGAACAGGACGUCUUAGAGGGUGAGAAUCCCGUAGGAUGGGGGAGCUGGACUGUGUAAACAGUUAUCGACGAGUCGAGUUGUUUGGGAAUGCAGCUCUAAGUGGGUGGUAAAUUCCAUCUAAAGCUAAAUAUUGGCGAGAGACCGAUAGCGAACAAGUACAGUGAUGGAAAGAUGAAAAGAACUUUGAAAAGAGAGUGAAACAGUACGUGAAAUUGUUGAAAGGGAAGGUUAUUAGAUCAGACAUGGAUGGACGGUGUUUGUGUCCACUUGUUGGAUGCUUGAGCCGCUGUUCAGGCCAGCAUCGAUUCGGGUGGCGGGAUAAAUGCAUUGGAACGUGGCUGGCCCUCGGGCUCAGUGUUUAUAGCCUUUGCUUCUGCCGCCAACCUGGAUCGAGGAAUGCGCUUUUUCGGAAGCUAGGAUGCUGGCGUAAUGAUCUAAUAUCGC
Molecule: ribosomal RNA, 600 nt
Filed under: Candida sp. Af110-3-2
Lineage: Eukaryota; Fungi; Ascomycota; Pichiomycetes; Serinales; Debaryomycetaceae
Description: partial 28S ribosomal RNA
Rfam family: Eukaryotic large subunit ribosomal RNA
Source: RNAcentral